This 277-nucleotide ribosomal RNA is filed under the name uncultured bacterium. RNAcentral describes it as "partial 16S ribosomal RNA". It matches the Rfam family "Bacterial small subunit ribosomal RNA", at positions 524 to 796 of the family's 1533-position model. The record is from RNAcentral.
UACGUAGGGUGCAAGCGUUAAUCGGAAUUACUGGGCGUAAAGCGUGCGCAGGCGGUUUUGUAAGUCUGUCGUGAAAGCCCCGGGCUCAACCUGGGAAUUGCGAUGGAGACUGCAAGGCUUGAAUCUGGCAGAGGGGGGUAGAAUUCCACGUGUAGCAGUGAAAAUGCGUAGAGAUGUGGAGGAACACCGAUGGCGAAGGCAGCCCCCUGGGUCAAGAUUGACGCUCAUGCACGAAAAGCGUGGGGGAGCAAAACAGGAUUAGAUACCCCCGUAGUCC